This 208-nucleotide ribosomal RNA is filed under the name uncultured bacterium. Its description in RNAcentral is "partial 16S ribosomal RNA". It matches the Rfam family "Bacterial small subunit ribosomal RNA", at positions 567 to 774 of the family's 1533-position model. The record is from RNAcentral.
UUAUGUAGGCGGCUUUGUAAGUCAUCGGUCAAAUACCACUGCCUAACGGUGGGAAGGCCUGUGAUACUGCAUUGCUAGAGGUAGCUAGGGGUAAGCGGAACUUGUCGAGUAGCAGUAAAAUGCGUUGAUACGACAGGGAACACCAAAGGGGUAGCCAGCUUACUGGGGCUUAUCUGACGCUGAUAUACGAAAGCGUGGAGAACGAAAC